AGUCACUGACAUUAGAUACCCGGGUAGUCCUAGCCGUAAACGAUACUCGCUAGGUGUCGGCCACGGUGCGACCGUUGUCGGUGCCGUAGGGAAGCCGUGAAGCGAGCCACCUGGGAAGUACGGCCGCAAGGCUGAAACUUAAAGGAAUUGGCGGGGAGCACAACAACGGGUGGAGCUUGCGGUUUAAUUGGAUUCAACGCCGGAAAUCUUACCGGGACCGACAGCAACAUGAAGGCCAAGCUGAAGACUUUGCCGGAUUAGCUG
This 264-nucleotide ribosomal RNA is filed under the name uncultured archaeon. RNAcentral's name for it is "partial 16S ribosomal RNA". It matches the Rfam family "Archaeal small subunit ribosomal RNA", at positions 719 to 982 of the family's 1478-position model. The record is from RNAcentral.